GAGUACUAAUCUAUGAACAAUAUGGUACAGGACAGCUUGAGAUUUUCUGAUAUAUGGUGUGUAACACAUAAACCCUCCUUGAUGGGUAACCCAUUGGGCUUCAUCCUUUCUACUGAUCAUAUGACACUUCUUGCCCUUUUUUUCUGGAAGGUACCAUGUUUGAGGUGCAUACAUUUGGUGCUGUUUCACACCAGGAUGUCAUGCAACUUCAUAAGCAUGACUGUACCCAUAAGACCCCAAGUUAUUUUCUGUCAUUUACACAGUACUGUAAAUGGCAGAAUUUCAACCCUGCCAUUUGCAUAUUCCAAAGGGAGAAAUACCUGGCUUACCUUACUUACCUUAGAGGAUGUGAAUGAAAAAUCCUCACUAAGUUAAACAUUCAGAGAACUUUUCAGUGGCAAAGAGGAUGUGAAAAUAUCCCUUUUCACCUCGAUGAAGUGAUGACUGCAAAUUUGUGUUAUUUAUGGCUUGGAGAGUUUUCCUACUAUAAAUGUCUCACCCUGAAAAGAUGUUAAUUUAAAUGUAUGAGAUGUUAGUUGUCUUGGCUAUUUUUAAAUAGUUGAAUGUGUUUAGUGGAGUUGGAAACAGUAAUUCCCAUUCAUUUUAAAAGAUGUCUAUGCCCUAAACAAAUCAUUGCCUUUUUGCUGAGCAUAUUUUCAUUAUAAAAAAAAAUGUAUCCAUACAAAGUCAUGGGUAAAAAACAUGAUUUAGCUGUUUCAUUUUUUUCUUUAUCAUUUUUGUGCUAUUUACCUUCCUUAUCUUCCUAUGGGCUAGGCUUGUAAAGGCUCCUGGGCCAUUAGCCUGGUACACACAUAUGAACAUUGCUGAGUACCCUCUUAGACACGGGCAGGGUGAGAAAUGACCAUUUUCAUAGGAUUGUAGGAAGUUGCUACGCUAGUGGCCCUGAGGACCUUUCAAGCCUAGCCAAGAAUUUAGCCCAUGUUCCAAGUUAGCACCCUAUGCCACUGUCAAGCAAGGACACGUGGAAUCCCAGAGGUGCCAUGCAAGAAAUUGCUCUAUAUCGUCACAGGUGAUCAUAAAUCUCUAAUUUCCUUUACUGAGACAGCCAGCCAGAAACAGUAACUGUACCAAGUAACCCAACUCAUGACAGAUGAGGGAUAAACUCUUGGCUAGGUUUGUAAGGGCCCCGGGGCCAUUAGCUUAGUAACCUUUGUAAGGGCCCUGGGGCCAUUAGUUUAGUAACCUCCUAUGAUCCUAUUAGUUAAAAUGUCAGGUGUGGAUGAAAUCCAAUAUUCUUUAAGAAUUUAUCUCCCUGGCUCUUGCAUCAUCUUUCCCUUUGCACUUUGUUUAGCCCUCAAAAAUGUCCAUGUAGCAAAAUGUUUGAAACCCUUUUUUCUUUCCCUUCUGCUGAAGUCACAAAUCUGUUGAAUCUUUGGGGAUUUACAACUGUUUUACUGUGUACUGUCAUUUACAGCUUUGUGUUCUCAUCCCCACCACCAUAAAACUAUCAAAUCUUUUGAUAUUCAGAACUUUCUCUGCAGUGUCAGAGAAUAAUCCUGGUACCAAUGACAGAAACAGAGGAUGAAUGUAGUUUGUAUCUUUUAAAAGAUCUAAUUUAACCACUAUUUCAUAUUUAAUGAGGAAAGGGAUUAAAUUGUGUUUAAAAUGUAGUAAUGAGACAAGAAAGUAUUAAUAGACGAAAAUGUCACAUGUUCUAUCCAGAGAUUUUCAACGUACGAAGUAAUUCUGAGUACUGCCAUUUUAAGUUAAUACAAAAAAGAUGCUGCAUGAAAGUAUAUCUCAUUACAAUCUUAUCUUUUAAGGACCCAGAGUGCAUAUGAGAAGAAGAAAAUAGUCAUAAAUCAAUAUCAUCUUACUAUGUUUACCCUAUCGAGUCAUUUUGGUUAGAACAAAAAAAAGUACUUGCAGUGCUGCAUUCACUGUUGUAGAAUAGAAACCCUUUUACUAGUGAUGCAUGCGCCUGUGUUACUGUUUAUAGCAAUUUUUGGCCCAAUGCAAAUAUGCUCUUUACACUGAAAGAGUUUUGGGAUUAAAUAUAAAUGAUAAAUGUAUUGAAUGAGGUGCAGCAGUUCAGUAACUAACUUUGUAACCUCCUUUCUUGGCAAAACAGACACAGGUUAUUUAUAAUGUUUUCACUCCAGUCAAUUCAAAAUGGAAUAUCUGAAUGAAUAUUUAGUAUGUGUGUUGCGGUACAUAGCCUGAUAUUUGGAGGUGUGGAAGAUGUAUUAUGCAAAUCUCAUUCUACAUUGCAUUUAAGUAGACCUCAUACUGGCAGCAUUUAUAUAUGGCAACAUCUGCCAACUAAUCUAUGUGAUUAAUACAAGCUGCAGUAUAAAGAACAGUUAGGGACAGUGGAGCUGAGUGAAGUUUUAAACUUUUGUGCACUGUCUGCAAAAUAUUUCCAUAUUUCAGUAUAGUUUUCUGCAGUGUUCUAGUGGCCCUGGUCAUAAACUUGACAAUCACACUUAGACUGCAGUCUAGCAAAGGACUUGCUGAAGUUGAACAAGUGGCCAGAAUGCUACCAGCUGAGGUUCACUGCAGACAAAUGCAAAGCUCUGUACGUGGACCAGAAUAACCCUGGUGAAAAUUAUCAGCUGGGAGGAGUGGAAAUGAGGGCAGCAGACCAGGAAAGGCAUUUAGUGGUACUGAUGAAACCUGAAUAUGAGAGAGCAGUGGUAACUAAAACAGAAUAUUGGGAUGUAUCCCCAGGGGGGAUACAUUCCAAAGAGAAUGAAGUAAUGUUUUUAUAGGGCCUUCAUCAGACCACUCCUCAAGUACUGCAUGCAGUUCUUGAGGCCACACAAGGAAAAUGACAUUGCACUGCUGGAGAAAUGGUCUGUGGGAUGAAUAAACAAGAAUAUGACCAGCGGCUACAGCAUGUAAAGUUCUUCAGACUUGAAACCAGGAGAUAUAUGGCACAUGGUAUUGGUGCACAUGAUCAUGCCAGGGAGAUGUGAAAGAGUCAUUCUGAACAAGAAAGUUAUUGCUGGAAGUAGGGGCAAAGACAUCAGAAGGUUGUUAGAGAAGAGACCAUGUAAUACAUACAUACAUACAUAUAUAUAUAUAUAUAUAUAUAUAUAUAUAUAUAGAGAGUACUCUGUGACGAACAAAGUUGCUGCAGCUACACCUUGAAAUCAUGAAAAAAGAACUGCGAUCCAUAUAUUAGUUCAUUUGAGACUUCAGAGUAAUCCAGCACAUAACUUCUUUAAAAUCAGUACUGUACUGAAAAUAAAUUAAACAGAUGAGGGCUUUUACCCUUAAAUGGGCUUCAUCAAAUCUAACUCCAGUUUACAGGGCAUACAGUAUUUAUAUGCUUUUAUAUGUAGCUCAUUGUUGGUUGACUCGAACUGGGGUAGUAACUGUAAGCCAUAGCCAUUUGGACAAGUUAUCUUAGAAUAGGUCAAGUCUUUCACACUUGUUCUGCAUAUUUACUCCUAUUAGUGAUUAAUAGGUUAUAGUUGUGCUGUUACAUCAACAUCAUUUUUGGCUGCCAAUAAUAGAUAAAAAAGCUAAACAUCUAAACUGCAUUUUAGCAUUUUUAAAUGAAAAAAUGCAGUUAUUUAAAGUGUAAAGAAGGCAAUUAAAGUAGUGUGUUUGUAGGGGGGGGCAAGUCCUCCUGCAUCCCAAUACCAAUGUAUUUUAAUAAACUAACUCCACAAUCAUACAACAGAGGAGAAAGGGGCAAAUAACACCUACAGUAAAAGGUCAUCCUGCUCCUUUGUGCACCCCCCCCACACACACACACACACAGUGUGAUCCUGCAUAAAACUAAUAUAUUUCUAACUGCGUUAUACAAAAACAGACCAGACUCCAGAUUACACUACCUUCCAUCAUUCCAUUAUGUCAGCUAGUACUUAAUGUAAAACAAAUUAGAAAUCCAUGCUUCACUGAAGCUGUCAGUCAGUGUAGUAGACAUGCAUAACUAUCCUUCAAUUAGACUUACGUCAGUAUCAUGGGAACUGGAUAUAUGGACACACACACACAUUUAAUGUAUACACUUAAGCCAGCUUUUGGCAUAACAUUUUUCACUUAUGCAUGAAUAAUGUAGUAUAACAUAACUGUCAUUAAACUGCAGUAUUAAGUGCAAAAAAUAUUUGUUUUUAUAAUUUAAUGACUGUCAUGCCUUACUGGUUCUUCAUCUAAAUAUAUGGAGUUUUACAGAUGAGGUAUGGAUCUCUAUCAUACUGUUUUAAAACCAUACUGUUUUAUCUAAUUGUUAAACGCAUGCAAUUAAAUGAACAGUCAGAAAAGAAGUAACACUCAGAAAUAAAAGGAAAGGUUUGAUCACUUAAUACUGUAUAUUUUGAUUAGUAUUAUGCUGCAAAAUGAUUGUGAUAUACACUAAACAAAUGCAUAAAACAACAGCAUUUACAUACAGUAUUGUGCUGAUAGAAAUCCCUACUCCUAAUCUGCUAAACUGCAUACAGUUUAAAGAAAUGUCAUUAAAACAUGGCAGUCAUUAAAACAUAAAGCGUUAAGUGAAAAAAAAAUUUUGUGUUUUAAUGACUGUCACAUCUUCCUGACUCUUCACAAUUGCUUGAAAGAAUAAUGUUUAAACUCAAUGCAGGUAGCAAUCCCUGCUAAAAAGUGAUCAAGUUCAACCAAUCAAAAGCAGUGUAUUAUACUUGCCCUACUCUGGCCUUGUGCAUUUAGUAUAUGAUUUUAAGCCACAUGUGAGACAAGCCCUCCUGCAGGAUCCAUGUUAAAGCCGAUCUCUGAGACACAAUUGAUUGAGGUUCAAUGGUUUCUUUUAAUCAGUUGCAGUUUGAUAAACUGCAUUUCAAUCAUAGAUGUAUGUGUGUAUACAUUUAGGGGGACAGUGAGUAGUGGCAAAAGCUAUUUUGGUUGACAUGGGAUUUAUAAAAAAAAAAUAAGUUGAAUGCCGGAGAGCCACUUGCCCUCUGCAGGACACAUGGUUGACCCAUUCGCAGGGUGGUGAUUUGCUGGCAUGUAGUCAAGUUUGUGAAUCUCAAUAUUUGUAGCUAACAUUUGUGAUUAUAUUCAUGUUACACACAGACACACACAAACACUCUCUCCGCUGAUUAGGUACUUGGUCUUCAACCAGACUAAAGUUACAUUUGGGGAAACACCUGAUGUCUCAUAUUGGUAGAGCAAAGGGAAUGGUGAGGGCAAAACUGCUAACAAAAGUCUUGCAGUCUGGCAGAUUCACAGCCAUUUUGAGUGUUACACAGUUAAAGUUCUACCUUAUCAUUGAUACUGCUUUACAUUUUCAAUCAGUGCUAUAUACACAGCAUUGGAUGAAGUGCAGAUUCAGCACCUUCGUUGAGUUGUAUAAAUGCAGUGAUCUGAAGUGGAUCAGAGGCAACCAUAACAAAGAGAGCUGAAUCAGUCAAAACUACAAGAGGUUUGUAUUCAAUAUGGAGGCUUUAAUGAUCAUUGGUUUGAUUGUUUCCAGAUCAGUUUUUACCAGGAGCUGCAUGAAGUCAUUGAUAAGUGCAGUUAGGCUCUAAAGGUCAGUAAGGCCAGCACCAAAAAAGAAACACAUGUGCAAUAGCAUAUGCUGCAUGCUGCUGAAAAUUCUUGAGCAACCCGCUAUCCAUCUGCAGAGGGUGCUGGGAUUUGUAGUAAAAUAUACUAACCUUCACCUAUGCAAAUUUAGUGUGGCACAAUCUACUAUGCUAUUGCAAACAGUAAGUAAACCAAAAUUAUUUUGAACAGAAUGUGCAUCUGAACCAGCUGCUGUAACCCUCCCUUCAAAAGUCAACGUUUAAGCAGCUUCUUUUGUCUUUAUAGUUAAUUAUUAUUAUUGUUAUUACUAUUAUUAUUGUUAAUAACUGAUGUUUUUACAUUGCUGUUAUACUUUUGUGAUUUAUCUUAUUUUUUUAGUUUAAAAAGGGCAAGUCAAUCAAUUUAAUGAUGUUCUUCCUUAUCUGUUAUGUAGUAUAUAUUAUUCUAAAAUCAAGUUAUGAACUCAUGGUUUUGUUAUCACUGUAUUGUUGAGCUAAGCUGUCACUGGCAUUUCUGCAUUAACAUUGAUAAUAAGGAAAAUCAGGCUGGGCAUUUUAUUGGUAAAUGUGGGUGUUCUGUUGGUGUAUAAUGAGUUUUGAAGCCAAAGUUGGAGGUGUUUCACAGUGUGAAAGCGUGACAGUCCAUUAUUAAAACUGUAUACUGAAGUACACUGCUACAUUUAGCAUGUUGCCUAACAUUUAAAUAUCUGCCCUAAAAGUACAGCAGUGUGCAGGUUUGAAUGUUUAUAAAAUUUUCAGGAAAGAAUAUUAUCUUUCAUUCAUUCAAGAUGAGUUUGAUACAGUUUAAGCUCCUAUUUGUAUGAUUUAUUAUGGUAUAUUAACACUAAGGGCCAGAUUCACAAAUGCUUACAGGAAGUGUACACUAAGUGUAUACCAUUCUGAAUGAACAGUCAACACAGGCAUAAUUCACAACUUCUUCAUGCUAAUUUUCCUUGAUUUUCUUGCAGCCUUAACUAUUGAGGGGGAUUCAUUACAGACUACGUAACACAGUGUAAUCUUUCUAAGCGACCAGAAACCACAUGUAAUGUAGUAGAGAUUCGUGAAUACAGAACAUAUACAUUUAGUGUAGGUGUUGAUGAAUCUCUGUAAUGUGGUAGGGAUUCGUGAAUACAGAACAUAUACAUUUAGCGUAGGUGUUGAUGAAUCUCUGUAAUGUGGUAGGGAUUCGUGAAUACAGAACAUAUUCAUUUAGUGUAGCUGUUGAUGAAUCUCUGUAAUGUGGUAGGGAUUCGUGAAUACAGAACAUAUACAUUUAGCGUAGGUGUUGAUGAAUCUCUGUAAUGUGGUAGGGAUUCGUGAAUACAGAACAUAUACAUUUAGUGUAGGUGUUGAUGAAUCUCUGUAAUGUGGUAGGGAUUCGUGAAUACAGAACAUAUUCAUUUAGUGUAGGUCUUGAUGAAUCUCUGUAAUGUGGUAGGGAUUCGUGAAUACAGAACAUAUUCAUUUAGUGUAGGUGUUGAUGAAUCUCUGUAAUGUGGUAGGGAUUCGUGAAUACAGAACAUAUUCAUUUAGUGUAGCUGUUGAUGAAUCUCUGUAAUGUGGUAGGGAUUCGUGAAUACAGAACAUAUACAUUUAGCGUAGGUGUUGAUGAAGCUCUCCUUCGGUCUUUUUGUUUUGCACUUGCUGUAAUAGCAACCUUUAUGAAGUGGUUUAGUUAAAAUUAUGUUGAAAACUUGCCAUGCAUUGGAGUACAUUUUAAUGAAUUUAUGUAAAGUAUACUACUUAGUUUUCCUUUAAAUUAUUUCAUGUUGAAUUUGUGUAAGGUUUUAUUAGUUAACAUUUCUUCAUCAUUUUUGCCAACGUGUGGUAUACGUUACAAGAAACACUUCAUGAUGAAUAUGCUACCAAUGUUGCCCAUUGGCUAAAUGGAAUGCACAUAAAUUGCAUGUGGGCUCCUGUGUGUGUGUGUGUGUGUGUGUGUGUGUGUGUGUGCGUGUGUGUGGAUGCGUGUGUGUGCAUGUGUGGAUACACUGGAAGGUACUUGGUUGUUUAUAAGGAUAAUAAACACUGAUAAUGUAGGUGCUGAAGUCAUCAUUGCAUUUUCUGAUACAGUAAUGAUAAUCUGUAUCUGUGGGACACAGAUAAUCUAUUUCUGUGUCAUGGAGAGUUUUCAUGUGCCUUUGGCACCAGUUCAGAAAUUAUUUCCUUGUGUACAAUUUAUUAUAUGGUUCCUGUUAAGAUUUUACAGUAAAAGAAUAUCCUUCAGACACUAUCUGUUUACGUUACUGCUUGCUGGCAUAUGCUAAUGCUGUGAUGACACAGUUUGACAGCCCUCUUUUGGAUAUCACAUUUCUAUGCAUAGGAAGCAGUCAGAGAGGAUCAUCAGGUGACAAAGGUGACAGCAUAGCAAAAAUCAUAGAAAGCUAGACUGGGUGAGCUUCUUAGGUAGAUACUGAAUGAGACGCUAGAAGACAGAGAUGUGCUAGAACCCUUCAGAGAUGUAACAAGUGUACCACGGAUAUAGGAUGAAUUGUUUACAUUGAGAAAUGUCAGUUCAAGGAUGUAAGGGAAUUGUCAGAGACUAAAGGUACACUGAAACAUAGCUUGGAUCAUUUUUCUGAAAAGGUAAUGCACCUAGGGGUGGAAUCCCUGUGGAGUUUGCAUAAUAAAACACUGAGAGUUCAUACACAUGUAAGACGUACAUGAGGAGCUCUUAUAGCAUCAAAAGUGCAAUGAAGCUAGAAGCUGAGUUUUGUCACUAUAGAGGACACUGAAAAUCUUGAGCUGCUUUAUCUUUCUACUCCAGUGGAGGAUACAGCAUCCUGUUCUUAGACAUUAUAACUGAAUAAGGUACCCUAAAUCAUUGAUUAUUUACUAACAAACAUGAGAAGGAUGUCAUGUAACACAUGAAUGAGAUAUGAGGUGAUAUGUAUGACUCCAGGGAGAAAGUUAAGAUUUGCCAUUUACUGCUCUGGGUUUUGGUACACAUGCUGUUUCUGCACGAAGCUGUUGGGAACUGUCAGAGGUCACAUGCCAGCUAAUCGCUGUAAUUUAUUUAUAUAGCCGAUAUAUCUGAAAUCUUAGUUUUGUAGCUUGCAAGGAAGCAUGCUGGAUUUCUAACAGCAUGUUGAAUGCUUUUAUUAACAUACAGGAAAACAUUGUGCAUAAUUCAGUAGUCUGAUUGCAUAUGAUUUUAAUAUUGUUUUGGAAGUUCCAAGAGUGAAUGUCAGAGGGUAGCUUCAUAAUGAUUUUCCCAUUUGACAAUCAUAAACUGCAAUGCAAAUCAUGGCCCCCUAAAGAUAUAAAUAAAGCUGUUUGUCAAUAACAUGGAAGAUUGUCCAUGGGUGUGUUAAUAUGGUUGCAGAGAUGAGAGCUAUAGUGUUGGGGAUAUUAGUAUCCAUCUAAAAGCAGUCUUCUGAAAUGAUCCUUUAAUCUAUGUGCAUGUGUGCCUGUCUACAGUGUUACUUUUCUGAGCAGUCUGCACUUGAAUGCUUUCUGAUUUAGCACUCAGAGCAAGAAGAAAUUUAUUUAAUAUGGAUAUCUAAAUAAAAAUGGAACCUGUUCAAAAUUUCUAGUGCAUUAUUAUAAGCUCUGCACCAGAAGGAAAGCAAAGUAUAGGCCAGUGAUGUCGAACAUUUUGGGUUUGGAGUGUCAGGAGUUCCUGGCACAAAAUAAUUCAGUGCACUCCACAUGAGCAACGAAUGCAAAAGCAGUGUCUUUAGUAAUUUGGGUGUUGGUGAUCGCUGUGUCACCCAAAAUGUGGUGUGUGUCGCCUUUGACAAACAUGUCAUAGGUUCACCAUCACUGGUAUAGGCUGUCACAAGAUAAAUAAGACUAGAACCCCUGUAUUACACACAUCACCUUGCUGGCAAGGACAGUUGAGGGUUUGUGCCUGAAUAGGUCCAUUAAUAUAGCGACCACAGCAGUUUUUAACUAUCCUGAACCUAUAUCUUAGUUAGAUUGCCAACAUAAUUAUUUUAAUAGUGUACUGAUUUUUUAAGGUAUGCAUUUUUUUGCCAUUAAGACAUCACGUUGCUUAUUAUUUCCAUUAAACUGAUGUUUUUCUGGUUUUACCAUUAUUUCUAUUUACCAAAGUAUCUUUGUUAUUCAGAAUACAUGAUUUUCCGCAUACACACUACCUUUAUCUGCAGGUUUAUUUUUAUAGCAGAGCAUUGGAUGAACCCAUGCUAUACAUGGGCAGAAAAAGGGAAUUGUCCUUGAACCCAGGCCAAUAUUUUUCCUCUCAGUGGAGCAUAUAUAGCUCCUUUUAUAGAAUUAUGACUCACUACACUUUCCCUGAUUAAAAAAAAAAGAAUAAAUUAAUGGCACCCUGAGAUGUAAAUGAAAGAAUUGAAUAAAUGAAGAAGACUAGAAUAUAGCAUACAAGGUUCAUAAACUUAUCAAGCACAAAAAAGUUAUAAACAUACUCAAGGUGAUCUUUGUUUAAAAUGCUUUAAUGUACCGAAGACUCUGCUGAAUAUGUGUUACUAGUUUUCUAUGUAUCAUAGCACAUUCAUUAUUGAUUUACUGUUGUAUAUUGCAUUUGGCUAUGUUUCAGGUUGUGACUAUAGCAUGUGUAUUUUUUUAUUAUUAUUUUUAAUUCAGACACUUGCAUUUUGAUUAUAUAGCAAAUAAAGUCUGGCUCUGUCAGUUGCAGUGGUAAUGGUGCGCCAUUCUGUGCAUCCUGUUAAUACGGAGAAAAUGCCUUCUGUUUUUCAUUUCAAUUUGCCAGAUAAAUAUAGCUUGUAUGUGCUGUAGCAACAUGCCUUUUCAUCUGUAUAAAUAGCCAAUGCACAUACUGUAAUGGAAUUCAGUAGGAAAACAAAAUGGUGUUUGUUUUCUCUGUAUUUGUGUAUUUGCAGACUUUUGUCUGAGAUGAUUGUAAAACCAGUUGUUUAGAAAAUUAUUUUAAUUAAAAAUGUUUACAAAUAAACUGAGGUUAAAAACA
Molecule: long non-coding RNA, 10359 nt
Organism: Protopterus annectens (West African lungfish)
Lineage: Eukaryota; Metazoa; Chordata; Ceratodontiformes; Protopteridae
Exons: 2
Source: RefSeq, a predicted model, not a curated record